ACUGCGUACAGCUCAUUAUAUCAGUUAUUAUUUAUUUGAUGGUACCUUACUACAUGGAUACCCGUAGUAAUUCUAGAGCUAAUACAUGCGUAAAGUCCCGACUUUUUGGAAGGGAUGUAUUUAUUAGAUUAAAAACCAAUGCAGGCAACUGCUCCUUUGGUGAUUCAUAGUAACUU
This 176-nucleotide ribosomal RNA is filed under the name uncultured eukaryote. Its description in RNAcentral is "partial 18S ribosomal RNA". It matches the Rfam family "Eukaryotic small subunit ribosomal RNA", at positions 86 to 262 of the family's 1831-position model. The record is from RNAcentral.